CAUCUACAAUGAUCCAUCUUUUUUCUUUACAAAUAGAAUUGGAGCUCUUGUUGGAGAUUUGAAAUGGCGUAUGAAGUUCUUAGCUAGAUUUUUUUCAAUAUACUCCUUGAGUUCAAUCAACUCAUUUUGUGAUAAAUUGUAGAUUGGUCCAAAUGGUAGUUGUGUUCUUUCUUGAAGGUUAAUUGAGAAGUCAUAGGGACGAUGUUCUGGAAGAGUAU
RNAcentral lists this long non-coding RNA (218 nucleotides) under Physcomitrium patens. Its description in RNAcentral is "long non-coding RNA (PPAT_LNC004223)". The record is from RNAcentral. Lineage: Eukaryota; Viridiplantae; Streptophyta; Bryopsida; Funariales; Funariaceae.